RNAcentral lists this transfer RNA (50 nucleotides) under Spirocerca lupi. RNAcentral describes it as "tRNA-Ser". Lineage: Eukaryota; Metazoa; Nematoda; Chromadorea; Rhabditida; Thelaziidae. The record is from RNAcentral.
AAUAAGGUUUUUUAGUUUUCUAAACUAAUAAUGGAUUUUUCCUUUUAUUU